This 323-nucleotide unclassified non-coding RNA is filed under the name soil metagenome. Its description in RNAcentral is "partial contains 5.8S ribosomal RNA, internal transcribed spacer 2, and large subunit ribosomal RNA". The stretch from base 1 to 120 matches the Rfam family "5.8S ribosomal RNA", at positions 35 to 154 of the family's 154-position model. The record is from RNAcentral.
GAUGAAGAACGUAGCGAAGUGCGAUAAGUAAUGCGAAUUGCAGAAUUCAGUGAGUCAUCGAAUCUUUGAACGCACAUUGCGCCCUGUGGUAUUCCGCAGGGCAUGCCUGUUCGAGCGUCAUUUCAACCCUCAAGCUCUGCUUGGUGUUGGGCCCUGCCCGCUGCGGCCGGCCCUAAAGACAGUGGCGGUGCCGCCUGGCCCUGAGCGUAGUACAUCUCUCGCUCCAGUGCCCGGUGGUAGCCUGCCAGAACCCCAACUCUCGUGGUUGACCUCGGAUCAGGUAGGGAUACCCGCUGAACUUAAGCAUAUCAAUAAGCGGAGGA